Molecule: long non-coding RNA, 212 nt
Filed under: Gallus gallus (chicken)
Lineage: Eukaryota; Metazoa; Chordata; Aves; Galliformes; Phasianidae
Source: RNAcentral
CUGGAACCAAACCUGGACUCUGGCCUCGGUGAGCUCUGUCCUCAGAGCUAGCUGCUCCCUCACGUAGACAUCAGGGUAAUGAGUUUUCUGGAAGACUUUCUCCAGUUCCUCCAGCUGCAAACUGGUGAAAGUUGUUCUGUGUCUCCUCUUCUUACUGCUGGAGACAUUGCUGUCACACUUAUCACCCAGUUCAUCCAGUUCCCCCUUCUCCU